This is an RNA transcript of Mus musculus (house mouse), 1620 nucleotides long. It is a transcript of the gene named emerin, with no coding region annotated. NCBI's taxonomy places the organism in Eukaryota, Metazoa, Chordata, Mammalia, Rodentia, Muridae. The transcript has 4 exons. The record is from RefSeq and is marked reviewed.
GACGCGCCCACAGCCGCUCUUGAGGCUCUGGCGCUUCUUCUUCUAGGCUCCGAGCGGUUGGUUUCUUGGGCCCUGUCUGUAGGCCCCGGCCGCCCCUGGCGUUCAACACCGCUUCCAGGUGCCGGCCUUGUCUGCCAUGGACGACUAUGCGGUUUUGUCCGAUACUGAGCUGGCCGCAGUGCUACGCCAGUACAACAUCCCUCAUGGGCCUAUUGUGGGUUCCACUCGCAAGCUCUACGAAAAGAAAAUCUUCGAGUACGAGACCCAGAGAAGGAGACUCUUACCCCCCAACUCGUCAUCUUCUUCAUUCUCCUAUCAGUUCUCAGACUUGGAUUCAGCCGCCGUGGACUCAGACAUGUAUGAUCUGCCCAAAAAAGAAGACGCCUUACUUUACCAGAGCAAGGGUAAGGCAGGUAUAGGGUGGGCACUGAUGUUUUUAUCCCAUGCUUCCGGGAUUUGGGCACAGGGAAACCCCAGACCUCCCUCACCUCCUUGUACCAGUUCUCAGUGGCUUCAGAGGGGAGAAACUGACACAGCACACACAGGCUGGGGAGGGAGAAGAGGAGGCCAGUUAAGGGGCACCACUUUUUCCUCUACCACUGUUUUCCUCCCCAAGACUAUAAUGAUGACUACUAUGAGGAGAGUUAUUUGACCACCAAGACAUACGGGGAGCCUGAGUCUGUGGGCAUGUCCAAGAGCUUCCGCCAGCCGGGGACCUCACUUGUAGAUGCUGAUACCUUCCAUCACCAGGUGCGUGAUGACAUUUUCUCUUCUUUAGAAGAGGAAGGCAAGGAUAGGUGAGUAGUGAACAUAUGUAGGGACAGGGACAAAUUCGAGUCUCAGACUCUCCUGCCUACCUGUUGCCUUCUUUUGCCACAGGGAGCGCCUCAUCUAUGGCCAAGACAGUGCCUACCAGAGCAUCGCACACUACCGCCCCAUUUCCAAUGUCUCCAGGAGCUCUCUGGGCUUAUCAUAUUAUCCUACAUCCUCCACCUCUUCUGUGUCCUCCUCUUCAUCUUCUCCCUCUUCAUGGCUUACCCGACGUGCCAUUCGGCCAGAGAAGCAGGCCCCUGCUGCUGCUCUGGGCCAGGAUCGACAGGUCCCACUCUGGGGCCAGCUGUUACUCUUCCUGGUCUUUGCUGCCUUUCUGCUCUUUGUUUACUAUUCCAUACAAGCUGAAGAAGGCAACCCCUUCUGGAUGGAUCCCUAAGGGUAUUGGUUUUAGAGCAGCUCUUACCAGGAGUUUUGGCUGAUUGCCUUAUCGGUGUUUGCUGGGGGUGGGGAGGGUAGGGGCUUUUUUGUGUGUUCUAGUUGGGUGCAAGGUCUAGCCUAAGGCAAUGCUUGUCUCCCACCUCAUCCUGCCAAGGAAGCAGCAAAUGUUGGCCUUCUACAGCCCAGUAGGCCUACCUGUACCUUCCUCUGGAGCCUCCUAGCCCUAUUGCCUCUGACCCUUAGGGUACCGGGGUCUGGUGGGAGGACCUCACUUCAUUAGAGGAAAACUUGGUGGUGGCAGUGGUAGUUGUCAUGCAUGCCUGUUUGUUGUCACCUUUUCAGGGGGUAUUAACAAAGACCACCCUGGCUUUGCUUUCAUGGACACAAUAAUAAACAUGUUUAUUUUUA